AGACCCGAAACCCGGUGAUCUAGCCAUGGGCAGGUUGAAGGUUGGGUAACACUAACUGGAGGACCGAACCGACUAAUGUUGAAAAAUUAGCGGAUGACCUGUGGCUGGGGGUGAAAGGCCAAUCAAACCGGGAGAUAGCUGGUUCUCCCCGAAAGCUAUUUAGGUAGCGCCUCGUGAAUUCAUCUCCGGGGGUAGAGCACUGUUUCGGCUAGGGGGCCAUCCCGGCUUACCAACCCGAUGCAAACUGCGAAUACCGGAGAAUGUUAUCACGGGAGACACACGGCGGGUGCUAACGUCCGUCGUGAAGAGGGAAACAACCCAGACCGCCAGCUAAGGUCCCAAAGUCAUGGUUAAGUGGGAAACGAUGUGGGAAGGCCCAGACAGCCAGGAUGUUGGCUUAGAAGCAGCCAUCAUUUAAAGAAAGCGUAAUAGCUCACUGGUCGAGUCGGCCUGCGCGGAAGAUGUAACGGGGCUAAACCAUGCACCGAAGCUGCGGCAGCGAACGUAUCACCCAAGACAACUUUACGGAGU
This 531-nucleotide ribosomal RNA is filed under the name Salmonella enterica. RNAcentral describes it as "partial 23S ribosomal RNA". It matches the Rfam family "Bacterial large subunit ribosomal RNA", at positions 711 to 1220 of the family's 2925-position model. The record is from RNAcentral. Lineage: Bacteria; Pseudomonadati; Pseudomonadota; Gammaproteobacteria; Enterobacterales; Enterobacteriaceae. RNAcentral also lists the same sequence under 1 other name.